This 508-nucleotide ribosomal RNA is filed under the name uncultured bacterium. Its description in RNAcentral is "partial 16S ribosomal RNA". It matches the Rfam family "Bacterial small subunit ribosomal RNA", at positions 28 to 523 of the family's 1533-position model. The record is from RNAcentral.
GAUGAACGCUAGCUACAGGCUUAGCACAUGCAAGUCGAGGGGAAACGACAUCGAAAGCUUGCUUUUGAUGGGCGUCGACCGGCGCACGGGUGAGUAACGCGUAUCCAACCUGCCCACCACUUGGGGAUAACCUUGCGAAAGUAAGACUAAUACCCAAUGAUAUCUCUAGAAGACAUCUGAAAGGGAUUAAAGAUUUAUCGGUGAUGGAUGGGGAUGCGUCUGAUUAGCUUGUUGGCGGGGUAACGGCCCACCAAGGCGACGAUCAGUAGGGGUUCUAGGAGGAAGGUCCCCCACAUUGGAACUGAGACACGGUCCAAACUCCUACGGGAGGCAGCAGUGAGGAAUAUUGGUCAAUGGGCGAGAGCCUGAACCAGCCAAGUAGCGUGCAGGAUGACGGCCCUAUGGGUUGUAAACUGCUUUUAUAAGGGAAUAAAGUGGGAGUCGUGACUCUUUUUGCAUGUACCUUAUGAAUAAGGACCGGCUAAUUCCGUGCCAGCAGCCGCGGUAA